GUUUAAUUGAAAUCAAGUCUUGUAAUGGAACAAACUUCGACAACUAAUAAUAACAAUAAUAACUAAAAUUGUUUUUCAAAAAAUUUUCCUGGAAAAAAAUAUUUCUACAGAAAGAGCUUCGUUUACACACGGAAAGAUCUCACAUCUUGUAGCAAGUCUGCCAACAAGCCGUCAACAAGUCGUGUCCGCACUGCUUGUCCCAAGUUGUCGACAAGUUUGUAACCGACCUUGUUGAUAUUAUCAGUUUUGUUGCAAGGUUGUUCCAACAAGUCCGAUACGGUCAUGAUAUAACAAUAUUGUUACAACCUUGUGUCAUCAACCUUGUAACGUCCUUGUUAUAUCAUGACUGUAUCAGACUUGUUGGAACAACCUUGUAACAAGUCUGACGAUGCCAUCAAGCUUGUUACAAGUUGUUAACAGCUCGUUCCAAACUUGUUACAACAAUUGGGAACAAGCAGUGCGAAUACAACUUGUCGACAGCUUGUGAACCGAUUUGUAACAACUUGUUUGCAGACCUGCAACA
Non-coding RNA from Paramuricea clavata, 523 nucleotides. The record is from the annotation of a GenBank genome assembly. NCBI's taxonomy places the organism in Eukaryota, Metazoa, Cnidaria, Anthozoa, Malacalcyonacea, Plexauridae.